RNAcentral lists this ribosomal RNA (253 nucleotides) under uncultured bacterium. RNAcentral's name for it is "partial 16S ribosomal RNA". It matches the Rfam family "Bacterial small subunit ribosomal RNA", at positions 524 to 776 of the family's 1533-position model. The record is from RNAcentral.
UACGUAGGGUGCAAGCGUUGUCCGGAAUUAUUGGGCGUAAAGAGCUCGUAGGCGGUUAGUCGCGUCUGCUGUGAAAACUCGGGGCUUAACUCCGGGCCUGCAGUGGGUACGGGCUGACUAGAGUGCGGUAGGGGAGACUGGAAUUCCUGGUGUAGCGGUGAGAUGCGCAGAUAUCAGGAGGAACACCGGUGGCGAAGGCGGGUCUCUGGGCAACAACUGACGCUGAGGAGCGAAAGCGUGGGGAGCGAACAGG